RNAcentral lists this ribosomal RNA (1009 nucleotides) under Staphylococcus aureus. RNAcentral's name for it is "partial 23S ribosomal RNA". It matches the Rfam family "Bacterial large subunit ribosomal RNA", at positions 1208 to 2217 of the family's 2925-position model. The record is from RNAcentral. Lineage: Bacteria; Bacillati; Bacillota; Bacilli; Caryophanales; Staphylococcaceae.
UGUCCUUUGGACAAUGGUAGGAGAGCGUUCUAAGGGCGUUGAAGCAUGAUCGUAAGGACAUGUGGAGCGCUUAGAAGUGAGAAUGCCGGUGUGAGUAGCGAAAGACGGGUGAGAAUCCCGUCCACCGAUUGACUAAGGUUUCCAGAGGAAGGCUCGUCCGCUCUGGGUUAGUCGGGUCCUAAGCUGAGGCCGACAGGCGUAGGCGAUGGAUAACAGGUUGAUAUUCCUGUACCACCUAUAAUCGUUUUAAUCGAUGGGGGGACGCAGUAGGAUAGGCGAAGCGUGCGAUUGGAUUGCACGUCUAAGCAGUAAGGCUGAGUAUUAGGCAAAUCCGGUACUCGUUAAGGCUGAGCUGUGAUGGGGAGAAGACAUUGAGUCUUCGAGUCGUUGAUUUCACACUGCCGAGAAAAGCCUCUAGAUAGAAAAUAGGUGCCCGUACCGCAAACCGACACAGGUAGUCAAGAUGAGAAUUCUAAGGUGAGCGAGCGAACUCUCGUUAAGGAACUCGGCAAAAUGACCCCGUAACUUCGGGAGAAGGGGUGCUCUUUAGGGUUAACGCCCAGAAGAGCCGCAGUGAAUAGGCCCAAGCGACUGUUUAUCAAAAACACAGGUCUCUGCUAAACCGUAAGGUGAUGUAUAGGGGCUGACGCCUGCCCGGUGCUGGAAGGUUAAGAGGAGUGGUUAGCUUCUGCGAAGCUACGAAUCGAAGCCCCAGUAAACGGCGGCCGUAACUAUAACGGUCCUAAGGUAGCGAAAUUCCUUGUCGGGUAAGUUCCGACCCGCACGAAAGGCGUAACGAUUUGGGCACUGUCUCAACGAGAGACUCGGUGAAAUCAUAGUACCUGUGAAGAUGCAGGUUACCCGCGACAGGACGGAAAGACCCCGUGGAGCUUUACUGUAGCCUGAUAUUGAAAUUCGGCACAGCUUGUACAGGAUAGGUAGGAGCCUUUGAAACGUGAGCGCUAGCUUACGUGGAGGCGCUGGUGGGAUACUACCCUAGCUGUGUUGG